This is a non-coding RNA of Theobroma cacao (cacao), 806 nucleotides long. The record is from RefSeq and is a predicted model, not a curated record. NCBI's taxonomy places the organism in Eukaryota, Viridiplantae, Streptophyta, Magnoliopsida, Malvales, Malvaceae.
UUCAAAAAUACAAAAUAAACAGCUUUUGUUACGUUCACGUCUUCUUUUGUUAGGAGCAAAAAUGCGGGUCCCACAACUCCUUUUGCCAAAAGGAAAGACAUCCGCUUGCUCUUAGUCAAAAAAGAGGCGAGUAAACAACUCCUCCACUAUAAAAGGGUCUGACAGCAAAGAAAUUCAGCGAUCAUUAGCUGGGAUAAGGACCCACUUCCGAGGUUCAGUUCUUUCUCCAGUUAUGAGAUUUCCCUCUGUUGUUUGGUUUGAAUCUUGUUUACACCGAAAAAAAAGGAGAAAAAGUCAUCUUAUGCAAAUUAAGCGUUGAAGCUGUGGUGUUAGUUGGUUGAAGAAUGGUGUCUGCAGGUGGAAAUUGUAAGCUAUGUCCGCCCUGAAUAAGGCCUUUUUAGUGUGUUCCUGGCAAUUACAACUCGGGUUGCCCUGUUACCGGAGGCUAACCCUGGUCGGAGUGUCGGCAUUCAAUUUUUAUAUCGGGUGGGGAAGAAGUGAACUGUUAAGGUAGAGACAAAACUCUCCCAGACUGGCAUGCGACGGGGUGCAUAUUCAACGAAGGCACAAUGUGCGAAGCUGACAUGCCAAAGAAAGCAAAUAGAGUCAGGAUCAAGUGCUCUCAACAUGAAUAAUUUUGUGAACCCAGCUCUAUGGUGAUCGAAGAUGGUGAUGGCAGAUCAAUGAAUUUUCAAAAAUUUUCCAAAAAAAAAGGCCAAGAGAAGUUCUAUCCGUUACAACCAUCUCUCCUUGUGAUGAACAGGUCAUUCUCCAUCAAUAAUAUACAUGAUUAUCUCAGUGUUUUU